This 1476-nucleotide ribosomal RNA is filed under the name uncultured Bordetella sp. Its description in RNAcentral is "partial 16S-23S ribosomal RNA intergenic spacer". It matches the Rfam family "Bacterial small subunit ribosomal RNA". Lineage: Bacteria; Pseudomonadati; Pseudomonadota; Betaproteobacteria; Burkholderiales; Alcaligenaceae. The record is from RNAcentral.
UUUGAUCAUGGCUCCAGAUUGAACGCUGGCGGGAUGCUUUACAUGCAAGUCAGGCAGCAGCUGGACUUCAGUCUGGUGGCGAGUGGCGAACGGGUGAAGGUAAUGUAUCGGAACGUGCCCUUACAAUAGCGAAGGGGAUAACUACGCAGAAAGCGUAGCUAAUACCGCAUACCGCCCUUCGGGGGAAAGCGAGGAGGGGACCUUCGGGCCUCGCACUAUUAGAGCGGCCGAUAUCGGAUUGGCUAGUUGUGGUGGGGUAACGGCUCACCAAGGCGAUCCGUAGCUGGUUUAUGAGAGGACGACCAGCCACUGGGACUGAGACACGGCCCAGACUCCUACGGGAGGCAGCAGUGGGGAAUUUUGAGACCAAUGGGGAAACCCUGAUCCAGCCAUCCCGCGUGUGCGAUGAAGGCCUUCGGGUUGUAAGCACUUUUGGCAGGAAAGGAACGGCACGGGAUAAUACCCCGUGCAACUGACAGUACCUGCAGAAUAAACGCAACUAACACAUUACUUGGCAGCCGCGGUAAUACGUAGGGUGCAAAAGCGUUAAUCAGAUUACUGGGCGUAAAGCGUGCGCGGGCGGUUCGGAAAGAAGAUGUGAAAUCCCAGAGCUUAACUGGAACUGCAUUUUUUUAACUACCGAGCUAGAGUGUGUCAGAGGAGGUGGAAUUCCGCCGUGUAGCGGUGAAAUGCGUGAAUAUGCGGAGGAACUGCCGAUGGCGAAGGCAGCCUCACAAGAAUGCUACUGACGCUCAUGCAAAAAGCGUGGGAGCAAACGGAUUAGAUACCUGGUAGUUACCUUUACAACGUCAACUAGCUGUUUGGGGCCUUCGGGCCUUGUAGUGGCGCAAUAACGUGUGAAGUUGACGCCUGGGGUGAUCGCAGGUCAAGCUCAAAGGAAUUGACGAGGUUCUACAAGCGGUGGAUGAUGUGGUUAAUUCGAUGCAACGCCGAAAAACCUUACCUACCGCCCGACAUGUCUGGAAUCCAAGAAGAUUAGGAGUGCUCGCAAAAGAAGACCGGAACGAGAUUGCUGCAUGGCUGUCGUCAGCGCUCGUAGUAAGUAGGAAUAUUCAGUUAGAAUUACGAAGCCGCAACCGCUGUCGUAGAUUCACUACGAAAGAGCCUCCUAUGGCAGACUGCGGUGACAAACCGGAGGAAGGUAGGAUGACGUCAAGUCCUCAUGGCCCAUAUGGGUGAGCUGCAUCAUGCAAUGGUCAGGACAGAGGGUCAUAACCCACCGAAGGCAAUCCCGAAACUGAUCGUAGUCCGGAUCGCAGUCUGCAACUCGACUGCGUGAAGUCAGAAUCGCUGUCGCGAGGAUCAGCUGUCGCGGUGAAUACGUUCCGGGUCGGCAUACACACCGCCCAUCACACCAUGGGUGGGUUUACCAAGAAAUGAAUUGGCCUAACCGUAAGGAGGGCGAUUACCACGGUAGGAUUCAUGACUGGGGUGAAGUCCGUAACAAAGAUGCAG